GAACGCUGGCGGCGUGCCUAAUACAUGCAAGUCGAACGGUCUUUCUAUGGAAGCUUGCUUCCACUGAGAAGAUAGUGGCGAACGGGUAGAGUAACACGUGGGUAACCUGCCCAUAAGAGGGGGAGUAACAUCCGGAAACGGGUGCUAAUACCGCAUAGUUUUCUUGAUCGCAUGACUGAGAAAGGAAGAUGGCCUUUGUGCUGUCGCUUAUGGAUGGACCCGCGGCGUAUUAGUUAGUUGGUGAGGUAACGGCUCACCAAGACGAUGAUACGUAGCCGACCUGAGAGGUGAUCGGCCACAUUGGGACUGAGACACGGCCCAAACUCCUACGGGAGGCAGCAGUAGGGAAUCUUCCGCAAUGGACGAAAGUCUGACGGAGCAACGCCGCGUGAGUGAAAGAAGGUUUUCGGAUCGUAAAACUCUGUUGUCAGAGAAGAACAAGUUGGAGAGUAACUGCUCCAGCCUUGACGGUAUCUGACCAGAAAGCCACGGCUAACUACGUGCCAGCCGCAGC
RNAcentral lists this ribosomal RNA (514 nucleotides) under uncultured bacterium. RNAcentral's name for it is "bacterial SSU rRNA". It matches the Rfam family "Bacterial small subunit ribosomal RNA", at positions 31 to 518 of the family's 1533-position model. The record is from RNAcentral.